Molecule: signal recognition particle RNA, 281 nt
Filed under: Saimiri boliviensis boliviensis (Bolivian squirrel monkey)
Lineage: Eukaryota; Metazoa; Chordata; Mammalia; Primates; Cebidae
Description: Metazoan signal recognition particle RNA (ENSSBOG00000014443.1)
Rfam family: Metazoan signal recognition particle RNA
About the family: The signal recognition particle (SRP) is a universally conserved ribonucleoprotein. It is involved in the co-translational targeting of proteins to membranes.
Source: RNAcentral
ACCGGGCGCGCUGGCGCAUGCCUGUAAUCCCAGCUACUUGGGAGGCUGAAGUGGGAGGAUCCCUUGAGCCCAGGAGUUCUGGGCUGUAGUGCGCUAUGCCGACCAGGUGUCCGCACUAAGUUCAGCAUCAAUAUGGUGACCUCCUGGGAGCAGGGGACCACCAGGCUGCCUAAGGAGGGGUGAACCGGCCCAAGUCGGAAACGGAGCAGGUCAAAACUCCGGUGCUGAUCAGUAGUGGGAUCUGCACUCCAGCCUGGGCAACAUAACGAGACCCCGUCUCU